This 484-nucleotide ribosomal RNA is filed under the name uncultured bacterium. RNAcentral describes it as "partial 16S ribosomal RNA". It matches the Rfam family "Bacterial small subunit ribosomal RNA", at positions 30 to 507 of the family's 1533-position model. The record is from RNAcentral.
AUUGAACGCUGGCGGCAGGCCUAACACAUGCAAGUCGAGCGGAUGAAGGGAGCUUGCUCCUGGAUUCAGCGGCGGACGGGUGAGUAAUGCCUAGGAAUCUGCCUGGUAGUGGGGGAUAACGUCCGGAAACGGGCGCUAAUAACGCAUACGUCCUGAGGGAGAAAGUGGGGGAUCUUCGGACCGCACGCUAUCAGAUGAGCCUAGGUCGGAUUAGCUAGUUGGUGGGGUAAAGGCCUACCAAGGCGACGAUCCGUAACUGGUCUGAGAGGAUGAUCGGUCACACUGGAACUGAGACACGGUCCAUGCUCCUACGGGAGGCAGCAGUGGGGAAUAUUGGACAGUGGGCGAAAGCCUGAUACAGCCAGGCCGCGUGUGUGAAGAAGGUCUUCCGAUUGUAAAGCACUUUAAGUUGGGAGGAAGGGCAGUAAGUUAAUACCUUGCUGUUUUGACGUUACCAACAGAAUAAGCACCGGCUAACUUCGUG